GUGCACCAGAGAAACAAGAAAUGUGCUGACAAAAUUCCCAAACGCGAUCGCCGUCCAAAACAAUGCACUGCCUGUGCUCUUCAUGCUUUCUGGUGCUUGGUCAUAGAAAAACUCAAGGUGUCCUAUGGACAUGAAAGCUUCCGCAAUCCCAUGAAGGCUAUACUGCGGCACCAGCCAGAGAACCGAAAUGGGGAUGGUGGACUUAGGGCUAUUGACGAGCCCAUAAGCCGAGGCUGCCUGUUUCCGCUUCACUUCCACGAACCCGGCGACUAGAGUGGCUACGAUAGAGAUUACGAACCCAAUCCACAUCCUCUGCAGGAAGGUGAUGCCCCGGUCAAGGCCGGUGAACCGGCGGGCUACACGAAUGAGUAACCGGUCGUAGAGUGCAAUUGUUAUGAGCAUGGAGGACAUGGAGAAGACAGUCAUGGAGCCAGGAGGAAUUUGGAAGGAAUUUAUGAGGCGUCUGUCCAUGGUACGGGCUUGUUGGAGGGAGAAAGUGCCCUGUUGAGCAUAGGCUGUGAUGAGGAGGAUUCCGGAUGCCCAUAUAGGCCCCAUUCGGAUCACAGAUUUUAGUUCUUCAACUCUGUGAACGGUAUUCAAUCUCCAC
RNAcentral lists this long non-coding RNA (607 nucleotides) under Vitis vinifera (wine grape). RNAcentral's name for it is "long non-coding RNA (VVIN_LNC000049)". Lineage: Eukaryota; Viridiplantae; Streptophyta; Magnoliopsida; Vitales; Vitaceae. The record is from RNAcentral.